Molecule: ribosomal RNA, 274 nt
Filed under: uncultured bacterium
Lineage: Bacteria
Description: partial 16S ribosomal RNA
Rfam family: Bacterial small subunit ribosomal RNA
Source: RNAcentral
AUACGGAGGGUGCGAGCGUUAAUCGGAAUUACAGGGCGUAAAGCGCGCGUAGGCGGAUAAUUAAGUCAGAUGUGAAAUCCCCGGGCUCAACCUGGGAACUGCAUUUGAUACUGAUUAACUAGAGUAUGGUAGAGGUGAGUGGAAUUUCCGGUGUAGCGGUGAAAUGCGUAGAGAUCGGAAGGAACACCAGUGGCGAAGGCGACUCACUGGGCCAUUACUGACGCUGAGGUGCGAAAGCGUGGGUAGCAAACAGGAUUAGAUACCCCUGUAGUCC